GUAGGUGGCAAGCGUUGUCCGGAAUUAUUGGGGCGUAAAGCGCGCGCAGGCGGUUCUUUAAGUCUGAUGUGAAAGCCCACGGGCUCAACCGUGGAGGGUCAUUGGAAACUGGAGAACUUGAGUACAGAAGAGGAAAGCGGAAUUCCACGUGUAGCGGUGAAAUGCGUAGAGAUGUGGAGGAACACCAGUGGCGAAGGCGGCUUUCUGGUCUGUAACUGACGCUGAGGCGCGAAAGCGUGGGGAGCAAACAGGAUUAGAUACCCUGGUAGUCCACGCCGUAAACGAUGAGUGCUAAGUGUUAGGGGGGUUCCGCCCCUUAGUGCUGCAGCUAACGCAUUAAGCACUCCGCCUGGGGAGUACGGCCGCAAAGGCUG
Molecule: ribosomal RNA, 374 nt
Filed under: uncultured organism
Description: partial 16S ribosomal RNA
Rfam family: Bacterial small subunit ribosomal RNA
Source: RNAcentral